GAGUUUGAUCAUGGCUCAGAUUGAACGCUGGCGGCAUGCCUUACACAUGCAAGUCGAACGGCAGCACGGGAGCUUGCUCCUGGUGGCGAGUGGCGAACGGGUGAGUAAUGCAUCGGAACGUAUCCUGGAGUGGGGGAUAACGUAGCGAAAGUUACGCUAAUACCGCAUAUUCUGUGAGCAGGAAAGCGGGGGACCUUCGGGCCUCGCGCUCUUGGAGCGGCCGAUGUCGGAUUAGCUAGUUGGUGAGGUAAAGGCUCACCAAGGCGACGAUCCGUAGCAGGUCUGAGAGGAUGAUCUGCCACACUGGAACUGAGACACGGUCCAGACUCCUACGGGAGGCAGCAGUGGGGAAUUUUGGACAAUGGGGGCAACCCUGAUCCAGCCAUGCCGCGUGAGUGAAGAAGGCCUCGGUGUAAG
Molecule: ribosomal RNA, 417 nt
Filed under: bacterium enrichment culture clone ALO1_GLFRUDD03G5QCG
Lineage: Bacteria
Also listed under: 3 other names
Description: bacterial SSU rRNA
Rfam family: Bacterial small subunit ribosomal RNA
Source: RNAcentral